RNAcentral lists this ribosomal RNA (679 nucleotides) under uncultured soil bacterium. Its description in RNAcentral is "bacterial SSU rRNA". It matches the Rfam family "Bacterial small subunit ribosomal RNA", at positions 46 to 735 of the family's 1533-position model. The record is from RNAcentral.
GCUUAACACAUGCAAGUCAAGGGGGCCCAGCAAUGGGCAACCGGCGAACGGGUGCGUAACACGUGAGCAACCUACCGAACUGUGGGGGAUAGCCGGCCUAACGGCCGAGUAAUACCGCAUACGCUUUCAUUGAGGCAUUUCAGUGAAAGGAAACCUACGGGACAGAUCGAGGGGCUCGCGGCCUAUCAGCUAGUUGGCGAGGUAACGGCUCACCAAGGCAACGACGGGUAGCUGGUCUGAGAGGAUGGCCAGCCACAUUGGGACUGAGAUACGGCCCAGACUCCUACGGGAGGCAGCAGUGGGGAAUCUUGCGCAAUGGCCUAACGGCUGACGCAGCGACGCCGCGUGUGGGAUGAAGCUCUUCGGAGUGUAAACCACUGUUGCCCAGGACGAACAGCUCGAUUUCUCGAGCCUGACGGUACCGGGUGAGGAAGCACCGGCUAACUCCGUGCCAGCAGCCGCGGUAAUACGGGGGGUGCGAGCGUUGUCCGGAAUCACUGGGCGUAAAGGGCGCGUAGGUGGUUUGAUAAGGGUGUGGUGAAAGUCCGGGGCUCAACCCCGGAUCUGCCGUGCCGACUGUCAAACUCGAGGACUGUUGAGGCAGGCGGAAUUCCGGGUGUAGCGGUGGAAUGCGUAGAGAUCCGGAGGAAGACCGGUGGCGAAGGCGGCCUGCUGGGCA